Molecule: ribosomal RNA, 291 nt
Filed under: uncultured eukaryote
Lineage: Eukaryota
Description: partial 18S ribosomal RNA
Rfam family: Eukaryotic small subunit ribosomal RNA
Source: RNAcentral
GGUUGAUCCUGCCAGUAGUCAUAUGCUUGUCUCAAAGAUUAAGCCAUGCAUGUCUGAGUGUAAGUAUUUCAUUGCGGGACUGCGAAUGGCUCAUUAACACAGUUAUUGUUUAUUUGAUUGUUCGUUUUACGUAUGGAUAACAGUAGUAAUUCUAGUGCUAAUACAUUUCAGUUUGCCCUUGUGGUAGAAAUUGUUAGUGUCUAAACCAAUGCGGUUAUCCGCUAAGUGACGAAUAAUAGCAAUUGUGCUAAUCGGCUUGCCGAUAUUUCAUUCAAGUUUCUGACCUAUCAG